UCUACAGGUCGGCUGGGUCUUGAUAAGAUAGGCGAGCGUGACCCUCUGCUUCUCCUGUCCUGUCCUAUUCUGGAUUCCAGACCGCCUGACCCAGUAGCAAUGCAGGAAUUUGGAGGAGAGGAGAGGAAGGAUUUAUGGGAGAUAAAGGGCAGAGGAAGUCAAACAAGUGAGAGCUUAAUCUUCAGCCGAGACUCUUGAUGCUGACGGCUGGGCCAUCUGGGCCGAUCUUCCACACCCGAACACACCGACCCAAACACGCGCGGUCGUCUCUCCGACUCCUCGCCGCGACCGGGAAACAAACAACACAGCAUGAGCGAGAGGAAGACAGAUAGAGAGGAACAUAGCACGAGGAAGCGGAACGCGAGGCAGACUGAGGGUGAAUGUAAGGUCACCGACUCGGAGUCGUCGAAAGGUUGAAUCAAUCCGCAAACCAAGACUACGCCCCGGGUUACAUUUCAAGCUGGUGAUCAGCAAUGGUUCCAACAGACAAAGCCUGGAGGAGCCAAUUAAGUCCAGAAAUUGAUGCAGGUAGACAAGUCAUUUAAAUAAUGCAAUGACAUGAAAGGUUAUUCUGAGCUUGUCUCCAAAAAAACUGCUGAUGCAAACGCUGACACAUGUGCAACUUUGUGUUCUGCAGCUAUUAAGCAUGAAUAAUGAAUGUGCUAAGCAUGUUGCAAAGCCUCAAAUCUCUCUGUGUACAUUACAUUUCUGGAAAGUGUUCUGUAUUUUACAUAUUUGCAUCCAACCUCAAUAACAUCUUUUAUCAAUA
Non-coding RNA from Gasterosteus aculeatus aculeatus (three-spined stickleback), 769 nucleotides. The record is from RefSeq and is a predicted model, not a curated record. Lineage: Eukaryota; Metazoa; Chordata; Actinopteri; Perciformes; Gasterosteidae.